This 446-nucleotide ribosomal RNA is filed under the name uncultured bacterium. RNAcentral describes it as "partial 16S ribosomal RNA". It matches the Rfam family "Bacterial small subunit ribosomal RNA", at positions 338 to 795 of the family's 1533-position model. The record is from RNAcentral.
CCUACGGGAGGCAGCAGUCGAGAAUUAUUCACAAUGGGGGAAACCCUGAUGGUGCGACGCCGCGUGGGGGAAUGAAGGUCUUCGGAUUGUAAACCCCUGUCAUGUGGGAGCAAAUUAAAAAGAUAGUACCACAAGAGGAAGAGACGGCUAACUCUGUGCCAGCAGCCGCGGUACUACAGAGGUCUCCAGCGUUGUUCGGAAUAACUGUGUGUAAAGCGUGUGUAGGCUGUUUCGUAAGUAGUGUGUGAAAGGCGCGGGCUCAACCCGCGGACGGCACAUGAUACUGCGAGACUAGAGUUGUAGAGGGGUAACCGGAAUUCUUGGUGUAGCAGUGAAAUGCGUAGAUAUCGAGAGGAACACUCGUGGCGAAGGCGGGUUCCUGGACAUUAACUGACGCUGAGGCACGAAGGCCAGGGGAGCGAAAGGGAUUAGAUACCCCUGUAGUC